Molecule: non-coding RNA, 74 nt
Organism: Podarcis lilfordi (Lilford's wall lizard)
Lineage: Eukaryota; Metazoa; Chordata; Lepidosauria; Squamata; Lacertidae
Source: the annotation of a GenBank genome assembly
GCCUGGAUAGUUCAGUUGGUGUGAUCAUGGUGCUGAUAAUGCCAAGGUUGCAAGUUCAAUCCGUAUAUAGGACA